AGGAAAUGUCUUCCUUGCUCUUGACUCCACUCUAUGCCUCUUCUAGCUGUAAAUUCCAUCAAAUAACUGUGUAUGUCUAAUUUUUAGGCCCAAUCCCUGAACUUUUCACUUUAUAGCAUUCUCUUCCAGCUGUGACAACACAGUCAAUCGUCCCCUCAUUCCCUUCAUAUGUUACCAGUUAUUGCAAUUAUACCAUGAAUUCUCUCUGCCAUCAUCUCCAAAUUCUCCCUGCUACAACUUGUCUCAUGCCUCCAAUUUAACCUUUAGAUUGUAAGCUCAUGCACUAUCCAGCAAAUAAAUCUUUAUAAAAGAUCUUCAGAGCCUACAACGCUCACAGGCAGGGCCCUCUUUACCAUUUGUAAAAGUCUGUAUAUGUUGCACUUUUUUUUUCCAAUUGUACAGUGCUGUGUAGUAUGUUGGUGCUUUAUAAUUGCCAGUAAUACAUAAUACAAU
This is a non-coding RNA of Pelobates cultripes (western spadefoot toad), 453 nucleotides long. NCBI's taxonomy places the organism in Eukaryota, Metazoa, Chordata, Amphibia, Anura, Pelobatidae. The record is from the annotation of a GenBank genome assembly.